This 462-nucleotide ribosomal RNA is filed under the name uncultured bacterium. RNAcentral's name for it is "partial 16S ribosomal RNA". It matches the Rfam family "Bacterial small subunit ribosomal RNA", at positions 28 to 507 of the family's 1533-position model. The record is from RNAcentral.
GACGAACGCUGGCGGCGUGCUUAACACAUGCAAGUCGAGCGGUAAGGCCUUUCGGGGUCCACGAGCGGCGAACGGGUGAGUAACACGUGAGUGAUCUGCCCUGCACUUCGGGAUAAGCCUGGGAAACUGGGUCUAAUACCGGAUAUGACCUCCUAUCGCAUGGUGGGUGGUGGAAAGAUUUAUCGGUGCAGGAUGGGCCCGCGGCCUAUCAGCUUGUUGGUGGGGUAAUGGCCUACCAAGGCGACGACGGGUAGCCGACCUGAGAGGGUGACCGGCCACACUGGGACUGAGACACGGCCCAGACUCCUACGGGAGGCAGCAGUGGGGAAUAUUGCACAAUGGGCGAAAGCCUGAUGCAGCGACGCCGCGUGAGGGAUGACGGCCUUCGGGUUGUAAACCUCUUUCAGCAGGGACGAAGCGCAAGUGACGGUACCUGCAGAAGAAGCACCGGCUAACUACGUG